Molecule: ribosomal RNA, 301 nt
Filed under: uncultured bacterium
Lineage: Bacteria
Description: partial 16S ribosomal RNA
Rfam family: Bacterial small subunit ribosomal RNA
Source: RNAcentral
CAGUAGCCGCGGUAACACGGAGGGUGCUAGCGUUGUUCGGAAUUACUGGGCGUAAAGCGCACGUAGGCGGCUUGGUAAGUUAGAGGUGAAAGCCUGGAGCUCAACUCCAGAAUUGCCUUUAAGACUGCCGAGCUAGCAGGUGAGAGAGGUAAGUGGAAUUCCGAGUGUAGAGGUGAAAUUCGUAGAUAUUCGGAAGAACACCAGUGGCGAAGGCGGCUUACUGGCUCAUACUGGACGCUGAGGUGCGAAAGCGUGGGGAGCAAACAGGAUUAGAUACCCCUGUAGUCCCUGUCUCUUAUAC